This 468-nucleotide ribosomal RNA is filed under the name uncultured bacterium. RNAcentral describes it as "partial 16S ribosomal RNA". It matches the Rfam family "Bacterial small subunit ribosomal RNA", at positions 28 to 507 of the family's 1533-position model. The record is from RNAcentral.
GACGAACGCUGGCGGCGUGCUUAACACAUGCAAGUCGAACGGAAAGGCCCUGCUUUUGUGGGGUGCUCGAGUGGCGAACGGGUGAGUAACACGUGAGUAACCUGCCCUUGACUUUGGGAUAACUUCAGGAAACUGGGGCUAAUACCGGAUAGGAGCUCCUGCUGCAUGGUGGGGGUUGGAAAGUUUCGGCGGUUGGGGAUGGACUCGCGGCUUAUCAGCUUGUUGGUGGGGUAGUGGCUUACCAAGGCUUUGACGGGUAGCCGGCCUGAGAGGGUGACCGGCCACAUUGGGACUGAGAGACGGCCCAGACUCCUACGGGAGGCAGCAGUGGGGAAUAUUGCACAAUGGGCGGAAGCCUGAUGCAGCAACGCCGCGUGCGGGAUGACGGCCUUCGGGUUAUAAACCGCUUUCGCCUGUGACGAAGCGUGAGUGACGGUAAUGGGUAAAGAAGCACCGGCUAACUACGUG